This 434-nucleotide ribosomal RNA is filed under the name uncultured bacterium. RNAcentral's name for it is "partial 16S ribosomal RNA". It matches the Rfam family "Bacterial small subunit ribosomal RNA", at positions 29 to 507 of the family's 1533-position model. The record is from RNAcentral.
GCGAACGCUGGCGGCAGGCUUAACACAUGCAAGUCGAGCGGGCAUAGCAAUAUGUCAGCGGCAGACGGGUGAGUAACGCGUGGGAACGUACCUUUUGGUUCGGAACAACUGAGGGAAACUUCAGCUAAUACCGGAUAAGCCCUUACGGGGAAAGAUUUAUCGCCGAAAGAUCGGCCCGCGUCUGAUUAGCUAGUUGGUGAGGUAAUGGCUCACCAAGGCGACGAUCAGUAGCUGGUCUGAGAGGAUGAUCAGCCACAUUGGGACUGGGACACGGCCCAAACUCCUACGGGAGGCAGCAGUGGGGAAUAUUGGACAAUGGGCGCAAGCCUGAUCCAGCCAUGCCGCGUGAGUGAUGAAGGCCCUAGGGUUGUAAAGCUCUUUUGUGCGGGAAGAUAAUGACGGUACCGCAAGAAUAAGCCCCGGCUAACUUCGUG